GACGAACGCUGGCGGCGUGCUUAACACAUGCAAGUCGAACGGAAAGGCCCUUCGGGUUACUCGAGUAGCUUACGGGUGGGUAACACGUUGGUGAUCUGCUCUGCACUUUGUGAUAAGCCUGUGACACUGGGUCUAAUACCGUAUAAGACCACGCGCUUCAGGGUGGGUGGGUGCAAGCGUGUGCGGUGUGGGAUGGGCCCGCUGCCGAUCAGCUUGUUGGGGGAGUAAUGGCCUACCAAGGCGACGACUGCUAGCCGGCCCGAGAGUGUGACCGGCCACAAUGGGCCUGCGAGACGGACCAGAAGCCAACGGGCGGCAGCAGUCGAGAGUCUUGCACAAUGGGGCCAAGCCUGAUGUAGCGACGCCGCGUGCGGGAUGACGGCCUUCGGGUUGUAAACAUAUUUCAAUAGGGACGAAGCCGAAGUGACGGUACCUAUAGAAGAAGCACCGGCUAACUACGUG
RNAcentral lists this ribosomal RNA (462 nucleotides) under uncultured bacterium. RNAcentral's name for it is "partial 16S ribosomal RNA". It matches the Rfam family "Bacterial small subunit ribosomal RNA", at positions 28 to 507 of the family's 1533-position model. The record is from RNAcentral.